ACAAAAUCGAUGAACAAAACGAGUACAUACAGAGGUACAUCACAGAGAGCCGGGCUUGGUGGAAACCGGUAUGAAGGGCUGUAUGGAAUGGAUUUGGGAGAUGCGAGGUGAAAGAGUGAUUCGAGUAGCUGCAGCCGUAACUCUGCGUUAAAGGGUAGGGUAUCGAGAGCAUAUCUGAUUUCGCAUUAUCAAUCACGUCUAUGUUUUCCGUACCGUAGAAUGAGUCAGACUGGAUGGCAGAUAUUUUCCAUUAUGUGAGAAUAUCUGCUUUUUUUAUAUAAAGUUUGAAGGUCUGAGAACAGGGGUGGCACCACGAUAUUUGUUUAUUCGUCCCCGGC
This 338-nucleotide non-coding RNA is filed under the name Clostridium sp. RNAcentral's name for it is "T-box sequence". It matches the Rfam family "T-box leader". Rfam says of the family: Uncharged tRNA acts as the effector for transcription antitermination of genes in the T-box leader family. T-boxes are found upstream of many aminoacyl-tRNA synthetase genes and some amino acid biosynthetic genes usually in Gram-positive bacteria. The record is from RNAcentral. Lineage: Bacteria; Bacillati; Bacillota; Clostridia; Eubacteriales; Clostridiaceae.